RNAcentral lists this ribosomal RNA (546 nucleotides) under uncultured Bacteroidota bacterium. RNAcentral describes it as "bacterial SSU rRNA". It matches the Rfam family "Bacterial small subunit ribosomal RNA", at positions 8 to 526 of the family's 1533-position model. Lineage: Bacteria; Pseudomonadati; Bacteroidota. The record is from RNAcentral.
AGGGUUUGAUCAUGGCUCAGGAUGAACGCUAGCGACAGGCCUAACACAUGCAAGUCGAGGGGCAUCGGGGCGUAGCAAUACGCUGCCGGCGACCGGCGGAUGGGUGAGUAACGCGUAUGCAACCUGCCUUCAGCAGGGGGAUAGCUCGUUGAAAGACGGAUUAAUACCCCAUAACACAGGGGCUCCGCAUGGAGAUUAUUGUUAAAGGGAUACUUCCUUCGGGGGGUAUUCCGGCUGAAGAUGGGCAUGCGUUCCAUUAGGUAGUUGGUUGAGGUAACGGCUCACCAAGCCUACGAUGGAUAGGGGAACUGAGAGGUUGGUCCCCCACACUGGUACUGAGACACGGACCAGACUCCUACGGGAGGCAGCAGUGAGGAAUCUUGGUCAAUGGACGGAAGUCUGAACCAGCCAUGUCGCGUGAAGGAGGACGGCCCUAAGGGUUGUAAACUUCUUUUGCAGCGGAAUAAAGUAUUCCACGAGAUGGGAUAUUGCAAGUACGCUGCGAAUAAGGAUCGGCUAACUCCGUGCCAGCAGCCGCGGUAAUUC